Molecule: non-coding RNA, 732 nt
Organism: Oreochromis niloticus (Nile tilapia)
Lineage: Eukaryota; Metazoa; Chordata; Actinopteri; Cichliformes; Cichlidae
Source: the annotation of a RefSeq genome assembly
CUGCACCUGUCUGUGUGGAAGUGGAACUGAACCGUGCUGUUAGUGAGAGGCUGGUUUACUGAGUGUAAAGCUGUCAGCAGGGGGAAUAACACAGGGCUGUGAAUGAGUCCUGUCACUGUGAUCAGGCUCCUCCUUCUAAUCCACCAACUUAGUGUUGAUGAAGACUAAACAGAGAGAUCACAGCUUCUUUAUACUUGCUGUAGCUCACAGUUACUCUACACUGCAGAUAUGACGCCUCUGUUCAUCUCAGUGCUGCUGGCUGCUAUGUGCCUCGAAUGCAGAGCACAAAAAGACAACGUGCUGCAAGCAAAAGGAGAAGAGACUGCUGCUGCAGGAGGCUCAGUAACACUUCACUGUCAGUAUGAGAGCAGUGGAACAACUAAUUAUCUCUUCUGGUACAAACAGGAUGGAAACAACAGCCCCAAAUUCAUCCUGAGUCGUGUCAGCAGGGAUGAUGGAAAGACAGCAGAUGAGUUCAAGGAGAGAUUUUCAUCCACACUGGAUUCCAGCAUCAGAUCAGCUCCUCUGAAGAUCCAGAAGCUUCAGCUGUCUGACUCUGCUGUGUACUACUGUGCUCUGCAGCCCACAGUGACAGGAAACACCAAAAACAUUGUUGGAAUGAGAAGGACAGAUGUGGAGUCCGGCUCAAUGGACCAAGCUGUUGGAACAACUCUUCAACAAAUGGAGAAACACAAGAGAUGUGACUUUAAAGCUUUUAGUGACUUCAAGUGA